UGAGUGAGAUGCUCAAAUGCGUCGAUUAAGGCUUGUCUGUUCACAUCAAUUUUUUUAAUCUCUUCGUUGGCAACACUGUAGGUGGCACCAGUUCCAAAAUGCUGAAGCAGCUCCCCCAAGGUUGUGGAUAUUUUGUUCAGGUCGUCACAGAACUGAUACAGAUCCUCAGCCACCGUCACUGCACUAUAUAAACUUAUAAUGCCCUUAUCUAAUUUUUCAAUUUCCAUUUUCAGCUCUUCAAUCUUCCCAUUCAUUUGCUGCAGCUGACAACAUUUCUCUUUCAAGUUUCCCGCAAGUCCCUUUUUCAACCCUCUGGUAGAUUCAUCUUCCUCGGGAAUUUCUUUUUCAAGUAAUUUAAUCAGCUCAAUCCUUUGGAGGAGUUCAUCUUUUAGCUGUGCUUCUGUUUUUGCGUUUGCUUUCUCUUUCAGCUUUUUUUCUUGUUC
This 443-nucleotide long non-coding RNA is filed under the name Daucus carota (carrot). RNAcentral's name for it is "long non-coding RNA (DCAR_LNC005982)". Lineage: Eukaryota; Viridiplantae; Streptophyta; Magnoliopsida; Apiales; Apiaceae. The record is from RNAcentral.